This 76-nucleotide transfer RNA is filed under the name Acinetobacter phage vB_AbaM_CP14. RNAcentral's name for it is "tRNA-Asn". It matches the Rfam family "tRNA". Rfam says of the family: Transfer RNA (tRNA) molecules are approximately 80 nucleotides in length. Their secondary structure includes four short double-helical elements and three loops (D, anti-codon, and T loops). Further hydrogen bonds mediate the characteristic L-shaped molecular structure. tRNAs have two regions of fundamental functional importance: the anti-codon, which is responsible for specific mRNA codon recognition, and the 3' end, to which the tRNAs corresponding amino acid is attached (by aminoacyl-tRNA synthetases). tRNAs cope with the degeneracy of the genetic code in two manners: having more than one tRNA (with a specific anti-codon) for a particular amino acid; and 'wobble' base-pairing, i.e. permitting non-standard base-pairing at the 3rd anti-codon position. The record is from RNAcentral. Lineage: Duplodnaviria; Heunggongvirae; Uroviricota; Caudoviricetes; Luriaviridae.
UGCCACGAAUCCGAGCAAGGUGCAUGGACCAGACUGUUAAUCUGAGGUUAGAUGGGUUCGAUUCCCAUAGUGGUAG